RNAcentral lists this ribosomal RNA (468 nucleotides) under uncultured bacterium. RNAcentral describes it as "partial 16S ribosomal RNA". It matches the Rfam family "Bacterial small subunit ribosomal RNA", at positions 28 to 507 of the family's 1533-position model. The record is from RNAcentral.
GAUGAACGCUGGCGGCGUGCUUAACACAUGCAAGUCGAACGGUGAACACGGAGCUUGCUCUGUGGGAUCAGUGGCGAACGGGUGAGUAACACGUGAGCAACCUGCCCCUGACUCUGGGAUAAGCGCUGGAAACGGCGUCUAAUACUGGAUAUGUGACGUGAUCGCAUGGUCUGCGUCUGGAAAGAAUUUCGGUUGGGGAUGGGCUCGCGGCCUAUCAGCUUGUUGGUGAGGUAAUGGCUCACCAAGGCGUCGACGGGUAGCCGGCCUGAGAGGGUGACCGGCCACACUGGGACUGAGACACGGCCCAGACUCCUACGGGAGGCAGCAGUGGGGAAUAUUGCACAAUGGGCGCAAGCCUGAUGCAGCAACGCCGCGAGAGGGAUGACGGCCUUCGGGUUGUAAACCUCUUUUAGCAGGGAAGAAGCGAAAGUGACGGUACCUGCAGAAAAAGCGCCGGCUAACUACGUG